CGCGCCGCGGUGCAGGCUGGGAGCUCCGAGGCGGUGGCGCCAGGAGGGACGGUGGCGGCCAUUUUGUGUCUGCCUCGCUCGCCUCCGUGGAGAGGCUGGUGUGGGCGUUGCGGCUCAGGAGAGAAGAGCUUGGCUGUCUCUUUUCUGUGUAGGUCGGGGGUGUCGCCGCCAUGGGCCGUAAGAAGAAGAAGCAGCUGAAGCCUUGGUGCUGGUAUUGUAACAGGGAUUUUGAUGAUGAAAAAAUCCUUAUACAGCAUCAAAAAGCAAAGCACUUUAAAUGCCAUAUAUGUCAUAAGAAACUGUAUACAGGACCUGGUUUAGCGAUACACUGCAUGCAGGUACAUAAAGAAACAAUAGAUGCUGUUCCAAAUGCUAUUCCUGGAAGAACAGACAUUGAACUGGAAAUCUAUGGCAUGGAGGGCAUUCCAGAAAAAGAUAUGGAGGAACGAAGGAGGUUACUUGAACAAAAAACUCAGGCAGAGAGCCAGAAAAAGAAACAACAGGAUGAUUCUGAUGAGUAUGAAGAUGAUGAAUCUGCAGCUUCAACUUCAUUUCAACCCCAGCAAGUUCAGCCACAGCAGGGGUACAUUCCCCCAAUGGCACAACCAGGUUUGCCUCCUGUGCCGGGUGCACCAGGAAUGCCUCCAGGUAUACCACCAUUAAUGGCAGGUGUUCCACCUAUGAUGCCUGGAAUGCCUCCAGUUAUGCCUGGAAUGCCGCCUGGAUUACAUCAACAGAGAAAAUACAUGCAGUCAUUUUGUGGUGGAAACAUGAUGAUGCCGAUGGGUGGAAUGAUGCCUCCUGGGCCAGGAAUACCACCUCUUAUGCCUGGUAUGCCACCAGGUAUGCCACCGCCUGUUGGGCCUCGUCCUGGGAUGCCUCCAAUGACACAAGCACAGCCUGUUACAGCACCGGGCAUUCUUAACAGACCUCCAGCUCCUGCUGCGUCGGCACCUACCCCCCAGCCUCCAGUUACUAAACCACUCUUCCCAAGUGCGGGACAGAUGGGGACACCUGUCACAAGCUCAAGUGCAGCUUCCUCCAAUUCAGAAAGUCUGUCAGCAUCUUCUAACGCUCUGUUUCCUAGCACAGCACAAGCUGCAGCAGCUGUUCCAGGUCCAGUUGGUACUGAUUUCAAACCUUUGAAUUCUACACCUGCAACAACAACGGAACCCCCAAAACCUACAUUCCCUGCUUACACACAGUCUACAGCCUCAACCACUAGCACGACAAACAGUACUGCAGCUAAACCAGCUACAUCUAUAACAAGUAAGCCUGCUACUCUCACAACAACCAGUGCAACCAGUAAGUUGAUCCAUCCAGAUGAGGAUAUAUCACUGGAAGAGAGGAGGGCACAGUUGCCUAAAUAUCAGCGUAAUCUUCCUCGACCAGGACAAGCUUCCUUGGGUAAUCCACCAGUUGGACCAAUUGGAGGUAUGAUGCCACCACAGCCAGGAAUUCCUCCACAACAACAAGGAAUGAGACCUCCCAUGCCACCUCAUGGUCAGUAUGGUGCUCAUCACCAGGGCAUGCCAGGAUAUCUUCCUGGAGCCAUGCCUCCAUACGGUCAGGGACCUCCGAUGGUGCCCCCUUACCAAAGUGGACCUCCUCGACCUCCAAUGGGAAUGAGACCUCCUGUAAUGUCGCAAGGUGGCCGCUACUGAUGCUACUACACACGCUCUAAUAGGUUUUUAGAAGUGAAGUAUAGUAAAUAUGGUUCGUUAAAUUGUGAAGGCGCUGGAAUUACAUGAACAUACCACCUUAAAGCCCUGCCAUAGGACAGGCUGAGGCAGAGUCUCAGUGUUGCCCUGUUCAGUCUGAGGGCAAGAAUUACUGAUAUUCUGCUAAAUUGGGUGAAUUUGCACCCGCUGUUUUUAACAAGAGAAGUGAAUGGGAGAUGUGGCAAAUAAAGUACGUACCACGCAUGAAGUUUUGGCUUGCUUAGAAUUGUGUGAUGAGCUCCUAAUGUGUUCUGUGCCUUGCCUAAUAAAGAUUGUAGCCCUUAAAUACUCUGAGGAAUAGGCUACCUCCAGAAGAAUUUUUAAAAAGAAUUUUUUUUAAAGUGUGUCUACUUCCAAUCAAAAUGAUCAGACCAGUGAAAUAAUGGUAGUGACUGGGUUCUAUAAAAAUGCAGCUAUCGGUGACUACCAUAUUUUCCUGUGAUAAAUUGGGGUAGGUAGAUACUAGUUCAGAGUAAGAAAAGUUUUGAGGCAGCUGUUGAAGGGAUCAAGAUAGAAUUGAAGUGAUUCUGAAGUGUAAUAUAACGUUCUUUUUGACGUUCUGAAUGUGAGAGUUUUCUUACACAGUGUAAACAGCAGCUUUAUGCAGUCUUUUGAUUGUCAGAGUGCAGAUUCUCAUUAAGACUCUACUAGAAGAAAAUAGUUCAAGUACAGUAUUUGUAGAUUCUGUUGUAGAGUGAAUGCAUUUUUACUUUUGUCUUGCGAAGGUCUAUUUGAGGGAGCCAGGCACUUCAGCUUGCUGGUUUUGCAGACAGCCAUAUCCUGUCUUGAACCACAGGAUCCAGGAUGUUAUCCUCAGUCGUUUGUUCUUAGAAUCCUGACGAGUCGGUAUUGACUGUCCGUGGUGUGAACUGUCACUGAGGGUUGGUAUUUAUACACCUGAUCACUAUUUUGAAUAGUGAGGUGCUUGCACCUUCUGAGCAAGUUUACAAUACCUUGUUUUGUUCUUACGGGCUUUCUUGCAGUAGGAACAGUAGCUGUUUUAAUGACAAUGAAUUUAACUUCUCCACAAAUAUUGUCUUGAACUUAUCUUAAGGUUUUCCUUUCUCAGGGAUUUAAAGAAGUUUAAAAGUUUUGAGAAAAUAGUAGAAUUUUAAUGCCAGUGUCAUCUUAACUAAAAACAAACAAACACAGAACUUUGAGAGCUUGGAAGCUUCCUUAAGAAUUCUCAUUAGCAGUUAAAGUAUGUAUCUCUGUUAGCUAACUGCUUUAUACCAGAUUCAAGCUUCUGGCAUCUCAGAUUUUAUUUCUUAAAUUUUGUCUAAAUCUUAACCAUGUUCCCAGGUGCUAUUCAGAAAGGGUCUGUGUGUAGAAUUUCAACUUCUGCUGCCCUUAGUAGCCAAUAUGUAUAAAAUGGUUUUUGCUAACAGCAAUUUUGUAUUACCAGAAAUUAAUGCCAUACAACCAAAGGAAGCUAUUUCACUGUCUCCCAACUUAGGAAAUUAUGUAAUGCUUUGAGAUGAAGAUGUCAUGCAGAGCGCUUUUUCUUUCUCUCUUUUUUUUUUUUGUUGAGUUACUUGCAUAUAUGUUACUUGCACUGAAUUCUUUAGCUUCUUUCCCAUAAACUUUAGUGGAAGAAAACACAUUUUGGUCUUUCAUUUGUAAAGUCUAGAAUAAGAAAACACACUUUAUGAGACUGUUUAAUGAAGGAACCUGGCUAUGUAAGUAUUGUAAUUUCCUUUGUUUGUGGUAGGCAACAGGAUUACCUUGUUAAACUUCUGGCUUAUGUAUGAAAAAUAUCAGAAAAUUAAGGGCAAAUUGAAAGUAGUUUUAUAGUUGCCUUUACUUCAUAUGCUUUUCUUAAGCAACAAAUUGCAGUAAUUGAAGUUUGGCAGCUUUUUUAAUGAAAAACUAAAUUAUGGGUUAAACUCCUUGGUUUAAUACAAUUUGUGUUUCUGUUAACUAGCAGCAGAAUUUCAGCAUUUGCUACUUACUGGUAGAGAAGAAAAAUUCCACAGCACUGCCAGUACAGAGCAAAACGCUGGAGAGAUGAGGUAGCUUUGAAGAUGUGUGUCCUUGCAACUCCUGUCUACAGGAUGAGAAUGGAUUACUCUGCUAGGCCGGUUGGUCUCAUUUAGCUACCACUGUUUACUUGUUUCUAAGAGGUAUUAAAAGGAAGAUAAAUCCAUGAUUUUAAUGCUACGCUACCUGGAACAAUUCAUGGCAUUUUGAAUUGGUUUUUGGCUGUGCCCAGAUCUUGGCUCCAAGUUGGAAAAGCAAAUCAUACCUUGCUACUGUUAGAACUACAUCUUCAGCAGGUGGCUGUAGCCUGGCCAGCUCCAUCCCUGCAGCUCCUGGUGGUACAACAGCGACACAGCCUCUGAAUUGAAGUGUAAAAGGAGCAGUUACCAGCACAGCCAGCGUCAAAGGCAGUUGUGGGGCUCUGCGCAAACUCCGCGCAAUGGCUGAAAGUGCACAGGUUGUAACUGAGGGAAGGCGAUGAGCGCUCACUCCCCAGGACCACGGCUUGGCAAGAGGACCACCAUGGCGUGGGGAGGGCUUACCUUGCAGAGCCCGGAGAUAACGGAGCUGUCUCCAGCGCUGCACUGCCGGAGCCUGCCUGCGAGGAGAGCGUUUCCAAAGGAGGUGAGGGAGGGAAGGCGCUCCAGCCUGUUGCGGUGCCAGGCUCUGCCAGCCCGCUGGUUCAGCGGCACGGGUGGGAGCCGGAGCCCUGGAGGUGUUUUUGCAGUGCUCCUGUGGCUGGCUUAAAUGGUCCUACUGACACCCGGCAAUAAAAAGGGGAGCUGCUUUAGACCAAUGCUGUUGCUGACCCACCCAGUCUCCACCCCCUUCUCGGCAGCGCCGUUUUGCUGGGUGCUGCCGCUUUUGCAAUCCAGCCGAGUGGCACGGGGAGAACGCCUUGUGUGGCUGCACACCAGGGCUGGGGGCUGUGCCCCACCAAAACACGGUCUGUGUCCAGGGUGCUGGGGCAGGGGGGUGUUGGGGUAUUAGUUUAAUUAGGCAGCUCCGCCCCCCCUUACUGCCCUCUACAUCAGUUACCUCCUCAGGCCAGGCCAGCUCACCAAAAGUAACCAGGGUAGAAGAGAGGCUGGCAGGGUCAUGAAACACCAGUGGCUCGUCAGCCCUCUGUAAUGCUGGGGCAUAGGAUGGGUGCGGGAAGCUUGCACUUGAGGCGUGGUUCCAGCCUUCCAUGCUCCAGCAAAGCUGUCUUACAGGCUUUUUUUGUUCUGUAAACCAUGUGAUCAUUUAUCAAACAUAGUUUCACAUGAAAAAAAUGUAUUUACGGGGUUAUCUAUACUGCACAGCAGUAAAAAUUUUUGCAGCAAGUAUUGCAGCUAUUUUAUCUUCUCUGUUCACCUGCCUCAGCGAGAGAGACACUGUGUGUGUGUUUCCUGCAUCUGAGCUGUGUCUUUGACUAGCAGGAAGCCGGUAGUUCUGAGUGGGCCCCUGCUCAAAAUUACCAGGCGCAUAACCCAUUUCCGGGGAGGCAGGAUGUGGCUGCUGCAGGUGUGUUACCCUUGGCCCUGAAUCCUGUCUCCAGCCUCAGUUCUGAAAGCUGUGUGUGUUAGUCCACAUGUGGUAGCAGUCCAGCUUAUUUCCCCAGGCACGCAUUGUCACUGAAAGUUGCGGGUUUCUUUUAAUCCGAGUACAAGUCUUUAUUUAGGAGACUUACAAAAGAGCUUUACACGAGAAGUACAAAAAUACGAAAUAGGCUUUGAAUCUUCUUAGUUAAAACUUGCACAGUUGUAACUUGCACAGUUGGCAUCUUAGGUAAAUUGCUCUCAUACAUUGUAAAACUAGGAAAAAAAACUUCCUGUAAAGUAGCUCCAGAAAAGUAGCUGUAUGUACCCAAUCAUACACAUCACUGUCAAUAAUUUAAGACACAAUGGCACAGUCAUACAAAUUCCCACUUUGUAAUUUCUCCUUAAAUGAAUUCCAUUGAAAGAUGCAGUAUCACUUUCCUCUUCCAGUUGUUAUAAUAUGAUUUAAUACAAACAUAAAACCGAUUAAGAAUGAUUUGGCAUGUUUUAUACUUGUACCACUUGGAUUUGAUACCACUUUGUAGUAAAAAUUAAAUAAAUAUAAAUAUGUUAAAUAAAUAUAUUGUAAAAGAACACCCCACUUACUUAUAUUAGAAUUCAGCAUUUCUUCAUGCUUCCCACACAUUUAAUGCUUUCUCACAGCUUUAGGGCCAAUGAAAAGAAAUACUGCAUCUUUAAAAACAUAGGCUCACUUGGAUGUAAUUAGCAACCCAUACAAACAGAAAAUGAGGUUCCUUUACAGCUUUAUCGCACCCAUUAAAAACACUGCCUAUAAUUUCACUGUUCUGUACAUCUCUCAUUUUCGAUUUAGCUCCUUUUUUCCCAGGAUUCAUCUUACCUCUGGCUCUGCAACUGGUGACUCUUCUUUAUAAGAAAGUAAGGAACACUUGCAGUAGAUAAAUGAUCAGCCUCUCACGAGCAGCUCACAGCUGACAUCAGUGUGUUUUUCUGAAGUUACUUGUGUAGUUCUGUUCUCAUACUGUGAUUUAAGUCAAGGACUGUUCAAGCUCUUCUGUGAAUACUGGUUGAUAUUUAAACAAUGAGGCUUAUUUUCAAAGUAGGUAAACCUUAAACUGAUUUUUCAAGUCAGUAGUUUUUUAGAACUUCACUCUAUCUGCUCAUGUAUGAGGGACUAAUUUUCCAGGGUAGUACUGAUUAAACAGAAAUUGUACUCUUUACUGUUUUUUGGAUAAUCAUAAAUUAUUCUCUUUACAAUCACUGUGGUGUGCCUAAUGCAUAACGUGGCAGUAGUGCAAUGGCAGGUUCUGAUGAUUAGCUACAACUAAAAGGCUCCUUUUGCAGAUCCCAGUCCCUAGUAAUUACAUGAUUUGAAUCACUGUAUUUUGAUUCUUUGUAGUAAAACACAUCAGUUAUAAAAUCACGUACAGUACAGGGAUGUUGGGUGACGGACACAACCAGCUUUUGCUCUCCAUUCUCACUGUCUUGAAAACUGCCUUGGAAUAACUCCAUCACCAGGGUUCAUUGCUUUUCUGAAGUUACCACUCUCUCCUUGGGCUCCUACCAUCUCCUGAUCCAGUGCAGGCAGAGGUACAAGGCACUUUUUGGAAGCUUGGUUUCUUCAAAGAGAGAGAAUUCAACUCUUUGAUCCCACUUUUCCCUGCUAAAGGUAGGCCUGUUUCACAGCCCUGUGCUUGGAAUGUUGGUCCCAGAGAAGAAAGCUCCAUCCCCCUCCUCUCAAACAGUGUCUCCUGCAAGGCUCAGCUCUGCAGAGUCCUGAUUAUAGUAAUGCUGGAACAGUCUUUCUUGGCAGCAGAUAUGCAUAGCAUUGUAGGUAUGUAGGAGCAGGUGAGGGAAACGAGCUGUAAAGUAACACACAAAAUCAUCUGGGAUGGAGCCCAGGGUCUCCUGCACUUCGGGAGGCAGUUCUCUGUAAUGGUGCUUCUAUAACGGAAAAAAGAAUAGGGGAAAAGCUCAGUCAGAGGGUAUGUGUUCAAGGAUCCUCUUUUAAAUACAGCUGUCUUUUUCAUGGACGAAGUAACCUCCUAUUAGUCUAUCAUAAAGCAGCUCAAUACCUAAAAUGAGGUGAGAUAGACCUAGACUGGCAACAACCAGCAGAAGGAGGCAGAACCGUAGCGUGUGUGUUGCUUAGGGAAAGAAGUCUUUUACCUUAUUUCGCAUGGCCCUUAGAAGAUCCCGUACUGAGCCUCCUUUGUAGGAUCUGAAUUUUCGAAGAUCUGCAAAAGAAAUUACAAGAUUUCUUUCUGUGUUUUGAUGCAGUUUUAGUUGUUGGCCUCAGAAGUAAGGUAUGCGUGCCUACAGUCACGUAUCCUUAUAGGUGUGUUUCAAUAUAUAAACAAGUUCUUUAAUUUGAAGAAAUACUUUGCUGACAAGUAAAGGUCAUGUGCCAAAACUGAGACAGUGUUAUCCUUACUUUCCUGUCCUGACAAACUGGGAAUAACAGCAUGUAACUCCUUUCCACUCCAAUAAAAUACUAUCCGUUUUACCUGUCUGAAGAGGGACAGUGAUGUGCUCUCUCCAGUCCAUUUUCACCACCUCUCUUCCUCCUCUUUCUAAUUGCUUGACUAUCGGACCAUCUAAAGAUUCUUUCUCUAUCCGGUCACUGACAUCCUG
RNA transcript from Aquila chrysaetos chrysaetos, 7834 nucleotides. It is a transcript of the gene named zinc finger protein 207, with no coding region annotated. The record is from RefSeq and is a predicted model, not a curated record. NCBI's taxonomy places the organism in Eukaryota, Metazoa, Chordata, Aves, Accipitriformes, Accipitridae. The transcript has 19 exons.